This 1457-nucleotide long non-coding RNA is filed under the name Struthio camelus australis. RNAcentral describes it as "lncRNA (ENSSCUG00000013500.1)". The record is from RNAcentral. Lineage: Eukaryota; Metazoa; Chordata; Aves; Struthioniformes; Struthionidae.
AUCCUGUGCUUGCUUGCACUGUGAAGGCAAGGUACGUGCUGAGGCAAAAGCAGAAGGUGCAGAAGAGUGCUGGGCUCUGACUCUUUUGGAAAUGUAACUACUGGAAACACUGCUAACCAAAAUGAGCCUCUCUCUUCCCUGGGCUGCCCUAAUCCAUCCCAGAAACUCUCCAUUUGUUUUAGGAUUCAUCGUAUCCUCCAAAGGUUUCCUCCUCUAAUUCAUGUCAUCUUUGAAUUUUUGGACGUGAACUUCAUCAAGCUGGUUUUCAUCUAUCUCUCCGAAUGUCUUCCAUAUUGGGAGUAUCAGAGGGCAGUUGUAAUUCCCAGAUUGAAAGAAAAGAUAAAGUAGCAUUAAUACUAAUAACACGGCAGUCCACAUACUGCAUCAUGAUCAUUUUCACAGCCUCUAUACAGAUGUUCAAAAAAAGAAGUGAUCAGCAUUGAACGCUGUUGUAUAUCACAUCUGGGAACCCUUAAUGAAGGAAAAGUCAUCCACUACCAUCUGGGAACACUUAGUGAGGAAUUAGUGAAACCACACCAAGGCAUUUCUCUCUCUGAGCCAGGUUAUGCAGCUGUGUCAGGGAUUUCGCAUGCUCCACGAUGUCAAAGGCCACCAGAGCUUAGAGUCAUCUGAUGGAGUCCAAGAUGAACUACAUCAGCAUGGAUUAAAAGCAAGAGUGCAACCAGCAAACACUAAGGCCCACAGCAGAUUUUGCCUUUUAACAUUUGUGACAUGAGGAUUUCCCACUAAGCUUUGGAUGGAUUCCCAGGCAUGAGGCUUAGAAAUACAAUCUGCUAACUCUGACAACUCUGUUGCAGAGAGGAAGCAAACCAGGUUCUAAACAAGCGUUGGAACAUACGCAGGUAUAUACAUCUUUGGGCUCCUUGGGAGGAAAAAGCACGGUACCUUUGUUUUAUGAGACUUGGCAAGAUGUAUAAGUAACAAUAUUGAUUUCAAAGGAUUGUAAAUACUUACCCAUUACAUUUACACAACCCAGUUUUCACCACGUUACUCAAUAUUUUAUUGGUGAUUUUACAAAGAUAUCCUUUAUCUGACCUUUUUCUCUAUUUUAAUACCAGAUUGUCAGAAAUGAAGGGUUUCAUUAUAGACAUUAGUAUUUACCGGUAAUUCUGAAACAAUUACCUUAAAUUAUUAUUUCCCUUUAAACUAUCUUUCAUUUUUAACUGACUGUCUUUUAUGUAAAAAGACAGUGAAACUGCCUAUCUAUAUUAAGGCAACACCUUUAUGGCAUUAUUCAGGGGCUGGGGAAAGUUGCUGCAGCAACAGCACAAGUUAUAUAACGCUCCAUUCAAUGCAAGAUGAGUAAGCUAGUUUGGAGGGGGCUGCAAUCCCAAACUCUCUGUUGCUGUCAGUUUCUCACCCUGUUUGCAAAGUAUGAUACAUUUUAUAAUAUGUUUUUAGAGUUCUCUAUACGGAGUCAUUCAGACUUACUAUGC